CGGGUGAGUAAUGCAUCGGAACGUACCCAUUUGUGGGGGAUAACUAUCCGAAAGGAUAGCUAAUACCGCAUAAGUCCUGAGGGAGAAAGCAGGGGAUCGCAAGACCUUGCGCGAAUGGAGCGGCCGAUGUCGGAUUAGCUAGUUGGUAGGGUAAAGGCCUACCAAGGCGACGAUCCGUAGCGGGUCUGAGAGGAUGAUCCGCCACACUGGAACUGAGACACGGUCCAGACUCCUACGGGAGGCAGCAGUGGGGAAUUUUGGACAAUGGGCGCAAGCCUGAUCCAGCCAUUCCGCGUGAGUGAAGAAGGCCUUCGGGUUGUAAAGCUCUUUCGGCAGGAACGAAACGCUCUGGGUUAAUACCCUGGGGUAAUGACGGUACCUGAAGAAGAAGCACCGGCUAACUACGUGCCAGCAGCCGCGGUAAUACGUAGGGUGCGAGCGUUAAUCGGAAUUACUGGGCGUAAAGCGCGCGCAGGCGGUUAUGUAAGACAGAUGUGAAAUCCCCGGGCUUAACCUGGGAACUGCGUUUGUGACUGCAUAACUUGAGUGUGGCAGAGGGGGGUGGAAUUCCACGUGUAGCAGUGAAAUGCGUAGAGAUGUGGAGGAACACCGAUGGCGAAGGCAGCCCCCUGGGUCAACACUGACGCUCAUGCACGAAAGCGUGGGUAGCAAACAGGAUUAGAUACCCUGGUAGUCCACGCCCUAAACGAUGCGAACUAGGUGUUGGAGAAGGAGACUUCUUUAGUACCGCAGCUAACGCGUGAAGUUCGCCGCCUGGGGAGUACGGUCGCAAGAUUAAAACUCAAAGGAAUUGACGGGGACCCGCACAAGCGGUGGAUGAUGUGGAUUAAUUCGAUGCAACGCGAAAAACCUUACCUACCCUUGACAUGCCAGGAACUUGCCAGAGAUGGCUUGGUGCCCGAAAGGGAGCCUGGACACAGGUGCUGCAUGGCUGUCGUCAGCUCGUGUCGUGAGAUGUUGGGUUAAGUCCCGCAACGAGCGCAACCCUUGUCAUUAGUUGCCAUCAUUCAGUUGGGCACUCUAAUGAGACUGCCGGUGACAAACCGGAGGAAGGUGGGGAUGACGUCAAGUCCUCAUGGCCCUUAUGGGUAGGGCUUCACACGUCAUACAAUGGUCGGUACAGAGGGUUGCCAAGCCGCGAGGUGGAGCCAAUCCCACAAAGCCGAUCGUAGUCCGGAUCGGAGUCUGCAACUCGACUCCGUGAAGUCGGAAUCGCUAGUAAUCGUGGAUCAGCAUGUCACGGUGAAUACGUUCCCGGGUCUUGUACACACCGCCCGUCACACCA
Molecule: ribosomal RNA, 1306 nt
Filed under: metagenome
Description: bacterial SSU rRNA
Rfam family: Bacterial small subunit ribosomal RNA
Source: RNAcentral